CAGCAGCCGCGGUAAUACGAAGGGUGCAAGCGUUAAUCGGAAUUACUGGGCGUAAAGGGUGCGUAGGCGGUUGUUUAAGUCUGUUGUGAAAUCCCCGGGCUCAACCUGGGAAUGGCAAUGGGAACUGGACGGCUAGAGUGUGUCAGAGGAUGGUGGAAUUCCCGGUGUAGCGGUGAAAUGCGUAGAGAUCGGGAGGAACAUCAGUGGCGAAGGCGGCCAUCUGGGACAACACUGACGCUGAGGCACGAAAGCGUGGGGAGCAAACAGGAUUAGAUACCCCCGUAGUCCCUGUCUCUUAUAC
This 301-nucleotide ribosomal RNA is filed under the name uncultured bacterium. RNAcentral describes it as "partial 16S ribosomal RNA". It matches the Rfam family "Bacterial small subunit ribosomal RNA", at positions 509 to 807 of the family's 1533-position model. The record is from RNAcentral.